This 440-nucleotide ribosomal RNA is filed under the name uncultured bacterium. RNAcentral describes it as "partial 16S ribosomal RNA". It matches the Rfam family "Bacterial small subunit ribosomal RNA", at positions 338 to 795 of the family's 1533-position model. The record is from RNAcentral.
CCUACGGGGGGCAGCAGUGGGGAAUAUUGCACAAUGGGGGAAACCCUGAUGCAGCGACGCCGCGUGAGUGAAGAAGCGCCUCGGCGCGUAAAGCUCUGUCAGCAGGAACGAUAAUGACGGUACCUGAAGAAGAAGCCCCGGCUAACUACGUGCCAGCAGCCGCGGUAAUACGUAGGGGGCAAGCGUUAUCCGGAUUUAGUGGGGGUAAAGGGCGUGUAGGCGGGAAAGCAAGUCAGAUGUGAAAACUCAGGGCUCAACCCUGAGCCUGCAUUUGAAACUGUUUUUCUUGAGUGCUGGAGAGGCAAGCGGAAGUCCGUGUGUAGCGGUGAAAUGCGUAGAUAUACGGAGGAAAACCAGUGGCGAAGGCGGAUUGCUGGACAGUAACUGACGCUGAGGCGCGAAAGCGUGGGGAGCAAACAGGAUUAGAUACCCGAGUAGUC